GUUUCUCUGUGUAGCUUUGGAGCCUAAACUGGCACUCGCUCUGUAGACCAGGCUGGCCUAGAACUCACAGAGAUCCACCUGCCUCUGCCUCCCGAGUGCUGAGAUUAAAGGCAUGUGCCACUAACGCCC
RNAcentral lists this microRNA precursor (129 nucleotides) under Cricetulus griseus (Chinese hamster). RNAcentral describes it as "miRNA (ENSCGRG00000021540.1)". Lineage: Eukaryota; Metazoa; Chordata; Mammalia; Rodentia; Cricetidae. The record is from RNAcentral.